GUCUUUAACCAGUCCAACUCUUGGCAGGUACAGAAUACUAAAGGACCAUUUUAUUUCUAAAUGAGUCUGGAUGGCGCACCACAAAGACUGGAAAUGCUACUGCCCUUUCAUUUUAAAUGGCUAUCGGGUUCAUCCUACACAUAAAACCCAUCACAGAAAAUGAAUAUAAGCGGUAGGAGAAGAGACUGGAGAUGUGAACUGUCCCUCUGGAACGGGCUGCCAUUAAGUUUACUAAAAAUGUCUGAUGGUUUCACCCAGACAGUUAGGAGAGCUGUGUCUAAACGGGAUCCAGAUCUCUGCAAUUAAGGACCCCGGUGGAUCCAAUCAAGGAAUCACACGAAUGGCUGAAUAUGGUGGACUUGUGAAAGAUCAGGGCAUUCAGGCUGGUGACAUUCCUCCUGGCGAGCAGAUCCAUCCUGGGCCGGGGGUGAAAAAUGCAGCACCGCGCUACUGCUCAGCUGCAGAUGAAUGGAGCUAUCUGUCUUGUCACGAGGGGUCGGCGGGAGAGGUUACAGCCCAACUGUACCUGGUCUCUGAUGCUGAUGCCUGCACGCCGCUUCCCUUUACAAGAGAAGAAACAGAAAAACAGAAGAGAGGGAGAGACAGAGAGAGGGAGAAACAAAUCCUGCCCCAUCAAGCACUUCUUCAGUCCCUCCAGAGCCCAUCUCACUUCCCAUCAUCCCACAGUCCUGCUGCCCUGAGCGCAGGCUUUGACACAUCUAUAUGUUUUUCCUUCUGA
Cyprinus carpio (common carp) is the source of this 739-nucleotide long non-coding RNA. Lineage: Eukaryota; Metazoa; Chordata; Actinopteri; Cypriniformes; Cyprinidae. The record is from Ensembl.